RNAcentral lists this ribosomal RNA (253 nucleotides) under uncultured bacterium. RNAcentral's name for it is "partial 16S ribosomal RNA". It matches the Rfam family "Bacterial small subunit ribosomal RNA", at positions 524 to 776 of the family's 1533-position model. The record is from RNAcentral.
UACGAAGGGGGCUAGCGUUGUUCGGAAUUGCUGGGCGUAAAGCGCACGUAGGCGGAUUUGCCAGUCAGGGGUGAAAUCCCGGGGCUCAACCUCGGAACUGCCUCUGAUACAGCAAGUCUUGAGUCCGGAAGAGGUGGGUGGAAUUCCUAGUGUAGAGGUGAAAUUCGUAGAUAUUAGGAAGAACACCAGUGGCGAAGGCGGCCCACUGGUCCUGUACUGACGCUGAGGUGCGAAAGCGUGGGGAGCAAACAGG